GAGCGGUAACAGGUCCAGCUUGCUGGAUGCUGACGAGCGGCGGACGGGUGAGUAAUGCAUAGGAAUCUGCCCGAUAGUGGGGGAUAACCUGGGGAAACCCAGGCUAAUACCGCAUACGUCCUACGGGAGAAAGGGGGCUCCGGCUCCCGCUAUGGGAUGAGCCUAUGUCGGAUUAGCUAGUUGGUGAGGUAACGGCUCACCAAGGCCACGAUCCGUAGCUGGUCUGAGAGGAUGAUCAGCCACAUCGGGACUGAGACACGGCCCGAACUCCUACGGGAGGCAGCAGUGGGGAAUAUUGGACAAUGGGGGCAACCCUGAUCCAGCCAUGCCGCGUGUGUGAAGAAGGCCCUCGGGUUGUAAAGCACUUUCAGCGAGGAAGAACGCCUAGCGGUUAAUACCCGCUAGGAAAGACAUCACUCGCAGAAGAAGCACCGGCUAACUCCGUGCCAGCAGCCGCGGUAAUACGGAGGGUGCAAGCGUUAAUCGGAAUUACUGGGCGUAAAGCGCGCGUAGGUGGCUUGAUAAGCCGGUUGUGAAAGCCCCGGGCUCAACCUGGGAACGGCAUCCGGAACUGUCAAGCUAGAGUGCAGGAGAGGAAGGUAGAAUUCCCGGUGUAGCGGUGAAAUGCGUAGAGAUCGGGAGGAAUACCAGUGGCGAAGGCGGCCUUCUGGACUGACACUGACACUGAGGUGCGAAAGCGUGGGUAGCAAACAGGAUUAGAUACCCUGGUAGUCCACGCCGUAAACGAUGUCGACCAGCCGUUGGGUGCCUAGCGCACUUUGUGGCGAAGUUAACGCGAU
This 800-nucleotide ribosomal RNA is filed under the name Halomonas sp. RNAcentral describes it as "bacterial SSU rRNA". It matches the Rfam family "Bacterial small subunit ribosomal RNA", at positions 64 to 861 of the family's 1533-position model. Lineage: Bacteria; Pseudomonadati; Pseudomonadota; Gammaproteobacteria; Oceanospirillales; Halomonadaceae. The record is from RNAcentral.